Molecule: ribosomal RNA, 467 nt
Filed under: uncultured bacterium
Lineage: Bacteria
Description: partial 16S ribosomal RNA
Rfam family: Bacterial small subunit ribosomal RNA
Source: RNAcentral
GACGAACGCUGGCGGCGUGCUUAACACAUGCAAGUCGAACGGAAAGGCCUCUUUCGGGGUGUACUCGUGUGGCGAACGGGUGAGUAACACGUGAGUAACCUGCCCUUGUCUUUGGGUUAACUUCCGGCAACUGGGGCUAAUACCUGAUAGGUGCUCCUUCUACAUGGUGGGUGUUGGAAAGUUUCGGGGGUUGGGGAUGGGCUCGCGGCGUAUCCGCUUUUUGGUGGGGUAGUGGCUUACCAAGGCUUUGACGGGUAGCCGGACUUAGAGAGUGAUCGGCCACAUUGGGACUGAGAUAAGGCACAGACUGCUACGGGAGGCAGCAGUGGGGAAUAUUGCACAAUGGGUGGAGGGCUGAUGAAGAAGGGCCGUGUGCGGGAUGACGGUCUUCGGGUUGUAAACCACAUUCGCUAAUGACGAAGCAUUGUGUGACGGUAGUGAGUAAAGAAGCACCGGCUAACUACGUG